CAGCCGCCGCGGUAACACCAGCCCCCCGAGUGGUGGGGAUGAUUAUUUGGCCUAAAGCGUCCGUAGCCGGCUCUGCAAAUCUCUCGUUAAAUCCAACGUCUCAAGCGUUGGUCUGCGGGAAAUACUGUCUGGCUAGAGAGUGGGAAAGGUCAGCGGUAUUCUGGGGGUAGGGGCGAAAUCCUUUGAUCCCCGGAGGACCACCAGUGGCGAAGGCUGCUGACUAGAACACGUCUGACGGUCAGGGACGAAAGCUGGGGUAGCGAACCGGAUUAGAUACCCGGGUAGUCCCAGCCGUAAACGAUGCAUGCUAGGUGUUGGGUUGGCCACGAGCCACCCCAGUGCCGCAGGGAAGCCGUUAAGCAUGCCGCCUGGGAAGUACGGUCGCAAGAUUGAAACUUAAAGGAAUUGGCGGGGGAGCAC
This 420-nucleotide ribosomal RNA is filed under the name uncultured Nitrososphaerota archaeon. RNAcentral's name for it is "bacterial SSU rRNA". It matches the Rfam family "Archaeal small subunit ribosomal RNA", at positions 459 to 879 of the family's 1478-position model. Lineage: Archaea; Thermoproteati; Nitrososphaerota. The record is from RNAcentral.